CAUGCAUGUCUCAGUACAAGCCAAAAUAAGGUGAAACCGCGAAAGGCUCAUUAAAUCAGUUAUGGUUCCUUAGAUUGUACCAACAGUUACUUGGAUAACUGUGGUAAUUCUAGAGCUAAUACAUGCAAACAGAGCCCCGACCGGAGACGGGAGGGGUGCUUUUAUUAGAUGAAAACCAAUCGGCGGCGGGCGUACGUUUCGGCUGCGCCCGUCCGCCGACCAAAUCUGGUGACUCUGAAUAACUUUAUGCUGAUCGCACGGUCUCGAACCGGCGACGUAUCUUUCAAAUGUCUGCCUUAUCAACUGUCGAUGGUAGGAUCUGCGCCUACCAUGGUUGUAACGGGUAACGGGGAAUCAGGGUUCGAUUCCGGAGAGGGAGCCUGAGAAACGGCUACCACAUCCAAGGAAGGCAGCAGGCGCGCAAAUUACCCACUCCCGGCACGGGGAGGUAGUGACGAAAAAUAACGAUACGGGACUCAUCCGAGGCCCCGUAAUCGGAAUGAGUACACUUUAAAUCCUUUAACGAGGACCCAUUGGAGGGCAAGUCUGGUGCCAGCAGCCGCGGUAACUCCAGCUCCAAUAGCGUAUAUUAAAGUUGUUGCGGUUAAAAAGCUCGUAGUUGGAUUUGUGUCCCGCGCUGUCGGUUCACCGCCCGCGGUGCUCAACUGGCAUGUCUCGCGGGACGUAUUGCCGGUGGGUCGCGACCGUCCGGAUACCGCGGCGCGCCAGCCCGCCCCACGUCCGGCGGUGGAGACCGCGCGUCCGCGCCCGUCCCUCUCGUCCGUCCGCCACGCGGUCGCGACUUGGGGGCGUCGCGCGGGCGCGUAGGACCCCGUCCACGGCGGGGUGCGCGGGCCCGCGUCGUCGGCCCGGUGCGGUCCGGCCCGACUCACGAAUCCCGUCGCGGUGCUCUUGACUGAGUGUCGCAGCGGGCCGGCACGUUUACUUUGAACAAAUUAGAGUGCUCAAAGCAGGCCACAAGUUCGCCUGAAUAUUGUGUGCAUGGAAUAAUGGAACAGGACCUCGGUUCUAUUUUGUUGGUUUUCGGAACCCCGAGGUAAUGAUUAAUAGGGACAGACGGGGGCAUUCGUAUUGCGACGUUAGAGGUGAAAUUCUUGGAUCGUCGCAAGACGGACAGGAGCGAAAGCAUUUGCCAAGAAUGUUUUCAUUAAUCAAGAACGAAAGUCAGAGGUUCGAAGGCGAUCAGAUACCGCCCUAGUUCUGACCAUAAACGAUGCCAGCUAGCGAUCCGCCGACGUUCCUCCGAUGACUCGGCGGGCAGCUUCCGGGAAACCAAAGCUUUUGGGUUCCGGGGGAAGUAUGGUUGCAAAGCUGAAACUUAAAGGAAUUGACGGAAGGGCACCACCAGGAGUGGAGCCUGCGGCUUAAUUUGACUCAACACGGGAAACCUCACCAGGCCCAGACACCGGAAGGAUUGACAGAUUGAGAGCUCUUUCUUGAUUCGGUGGGUGGUGGUGCAUGGCCGUUCUUAGUUGGUGGAGUGAUUUGUCUGGUUAAUUCCGAUAACGAACGAGACUCUAGCCUGCUAACUAGGCGUUACUUUCCGGCAUCUCGAAGGCUCGCGUCUCCCGUUCGCCGGUGCGGGCGAGUGUCGCGUUGCGGCGCUUCGGCGUUUGCGCGCGCCUCGUUCGUCCGGUCGGGUGUUCGCGGUUUUUACUGCCGGCGUACAUAAUAAUCUUCUUAGAGGGACAGGCGGCUCCUAGUCGCACGAGGUAGAGCAAUAACAGGUCUGUGAUGCCCUUAGAUGUUUUGGGCCGCACGCGCGCUACACUGAAGGAAGCAGCGUGUCUUCCCUGGCCGAGCGGCCCGGGUAACCCGCUGAACCUCCUUCGUGCUAGGGAUUGGGGCUUGCAAUUGUUCCCCAUGAACGAGGAAUUCCCAGUAAGCGCGAGUCAUAAGCUCGCGUUGAUUACGUCCCUGCCCUUUGUACACACCGCCCGUCGCUACUACCGAUUGAAUGAUUUAGUGAGGUCUUCGGACCGGUACGCGGCGAGGUUUCGACGUCGCCGAUGUCGCUGGGAAGAUGACCAAACUUGAUCAUUUAGAGGA
Molecule: ribosomal RNA, 2070 nt
Filed under: Peltodytes sp. BT0096
Lineage: Eukaryota; Metazoa; Arthropoda; Insecta; Coleoptera; Haliplidae
Description: SSU rRNA
Rfam family: Eukaryotic small subunit ribosomal RNA
Source: RNAcentral